This 2656-nucleotide long non-coding RNA is filed under the name Homo sapiens (human). RNAcentral's name for it is "HSALNT0068347". Lineage: Eukaryota; Metazoa; Chordata; Mammalia; Primates; Hominidae. The record is from RNAcentral.
AACCUAGGGCUGUCCAUCCAGGCUGAAGAGAAUAUUCCAGAGCAGAGGUUGGGACACUAUGGCCCAUGGGCCAAAUCUGACCUGCUUUGCACAUGUGUUUGUCAAUAAAGUUUUAUUGAAACACAGCCAUGCACAUUUGCUACAUAUUGUCUAUGGCUGCUGGAUUUGGCUGUUCUCUCAUGCUAUAAAGAAAUACCUGAGGCUGGGUAAUAUAUUAAAAAAAGAGGUUUAAUUGGCUCACAGUUUUGUAGGCUAUACAGGGAGCAUGACACUGACAGCCGCUGAGCUUCUGUGGAGGCCUCAGGAAACUUACAAUGAUGGCAGAAGGUGAAGCGGGAGCAAGAGAGUAAGGUGGGAGGUGCUACACACUCGUAAACAACCCGAUCUUGCAAGAACUCACUCACUAUUGCAAGGACAGGACCAAAAGGAUGACGCUAAAUCAUUCAUGAGAAAUCCACCCCCAUGAUCCAAUCUCUUCCCACCAGGCCCCACCUCUAACACUGGGGACAGCUUUUAUCUUGGCUUUUUCACUGGCAGCCCCUUCCUCAAGGACUUAACUUGUGCAAGCUGACUCUUAGCACAUCCAAGAAUGCAAUUAACUGAUAAGAUACUGUGGGGCGAGCAAUAUCCGCAGUUCCCAGGAAUUUGUCCGAUUGAUAAUGCCUAAAGCCCCACGUCUAUCAUUUUGUAAUAGUCUUAAAGCCCUUAGACCUAGAACUGUUUACUUUCCUGUAACAAUUUAUCCUUUUAACUUUUUUGCCUACUUUACUUCUGUAAAAUUCUUUUAACUAGACCCGUUUCCCCUUUCUAAACUGAAGUAUAAAAGAAAAUCUAGCCCCUUCUUCGGGGCCAAGAGAACUUUAAGAGUUAGCCAUUUCUUGACCGCCAGCUAAAUAAGCAGACUCUUAAUUCAUGUGAAAGUGUGGCAUUUUCUCUAACUCUUUCAAGUACAACAUUUGGAGGCCCCAGCGAGAAACGCCAUGAGGCGAGAGCCGGGCUCGCUCCGGGCUCCCCCAGAAGGACGGCCGGCUUGUUGGGGGGUGCCACCUAAAAAAAAUUUUCAGGUCCUCGAAAGGUGACCGUCUUCCAGAGGAGAGCGGAUCGACUACCGUGUGGGUGACCAUAAAAAUUCCACCUCUGAGUCCUCGACUUCUGACCCCAAGGUCAGGUAGGUCAGAUUUGACUUCAGUUCUAGUAAGAGGGAAGCGGCCCUGACGAGGGUGUCCCUCUUUUGACUCUGCCUGUUUAUCUAGGACGCUAGAAGGUAGAGCGCUGGCUUUCUGUUAGGCACCUCUGUGUCUCUUUCUAGGAGGGAAGAGGCCCUGACAGGGACCCUCCCUUGACUCAGUCCACAUCCCAGGAUGCUGGAGGACUGAGUCCUGGUUUCUGGCAGACCGGUCACUCUCUCUCUCUCUUUUUAUAUCUCUCAUCUUUCUCUUGUUCAAGUUUCUUGAAGAAUCUCCAAGAAAGAAAGAAAAAAAAACUGUUAUAUACUCUGUGUGAAUAAUGAAUGAAUGAGGGAGGACAAGGGCUUGCGCUUGUCCUCCAGUUUGUAGCUCCACGGCGAAAGCUACGGAGUUCAAGUAGACCCUCACCUGCGGUUCCUUGGCGACCUCAUAAGGCUUAAGGCAGCAUCAGGCAUAGCUUGAUCUGAGCCGCAAGUUUAUACCGGCCUGCCAAUGGUAAGAGGAGCCCAGGUCCCCUCAGGGGGAGUGGCCAGGCAGGCAUCUGACUGAUCCCAUCACAGGAAACCCUCUCCUUGUCUGUCUAAGAAAAAAAAAAAAGGAAGAAACUGUCAUAACUGUUUACAUGCCCUAAAGUCAACUGUUUGUUUUAUAUUGAUUGUUCUGUUCAGUGUCUAUUGUCUUGUUAGUAGUUGUCAAAGUUUUGCAUGUCAAGACGUUGAUAUUGCCCAAGACGUCUAAGUAAAAACUUCUUCAAAGUCCUUAGUGCUGAUUUUUUGUCACAGGAGGUUAAAUUUCUCAUCAAUCAUUUAGGCUGACCACCACAGUCCUGUCUUUUCUGCCAGAAGCAAGUCAAGUGUUGUUACAAGAACAAGUGUGAAAAACAUUUGCCUGAUUAAGAUUUCUAGCACCAUGAAAGUGGUACAAGAUAUUAUCCUGCCACUUGUUUGAGGAGCCCUUCCCAAUCCAAUUCCUGACCAGAAAAAGUCCUGCCAUUCAUUCCAGCCAGGAGACCUAGCAUUUGUUAAAAAGUUCCAAAAAGAAAGACUCACUCCUGCUUAGAAAAGACCUCACACCGUCAUCCUCACGACUCCAACUGCUCUGAAAGUAGGCGGCAUUCCUGCUAGAUUCAUCACUCCCGCAUCAAAAAGUCCAACAGAGCCCAGCUCAAAACAUAAGUCCCCAGGCCUAAGUCAGGCCCCUUAAAACUGCACCUAAGUCAGGUGAAGCCAUUAGAUUCAUUCUUUUUGUCUACCUCACUUAUUUGUUUUUGCCAGUUACAUCCUCUGUGCCUUCCUACUCCUUUCUCCUCACCUCUUUCACAACAGGACGUGUAUUUGCAAACACCACUUAGAAGGUCCGUACCUCCAAGGAAGUCUCCUUUGCAGUUGAUUUAUUUGUACUAUUCCCAAAGCCAGCCCACACCCACAAAAACAACACCAUCUGCCAGUCCCAGGAGCAGGAAGUGUCGA